GUCCACGCCCUAAACUAUGGAUACUCGACAUUUGCGAUAAACUGUAAGUGUCUGAGCGAAAGCAUUAAGUAUCCCACCUGGGAAGUACGAUCGCAAGAUUGAAACUCAAAGGAAUUGGCGGGGUCCGCACAAGCGGUGGAGCAUGUGGUUUAAUUCGAUGAUACGCGAGGAACCUUACCUGGGCUAGAAUGUCAGUGGACCGUGGGUGAAAGCUCAUUUGUUAGCAAUACACCGCUGAUAAGGUGCUGCAUGGCUGUCGU
This 260-nucleotide ribosomal RNA is filed under the name uncultured bacterium. Its description in RNAcentral is "partial 16S ribosomal RNA". It matches the Rfam family "Bacterial small subunit ribosomal RNA", at positions 793 to 1055 of the family's 1533-position model. The record is from RNAcentral.